UACGGAAGAUGCGAGCGUUAUCCGGAUUUAUUGGGUUUAAAGGGAGCGUAGGCGGGCUUUUAAGUCAGCGGUCAAAUGUCGGUGCCCAACAUCGUCCUUCCGUUGAAACUGGCAGCCUUGAAUGCACGCAGGGAAGGUGGAAUUCGUCGUGUAGCGGUGAAAUGCUUAGAUAUGACGAGGAACUCCGAUCGCGAAGGCAUCCUUCUGGAGUGCGAUUGACGCUGAGGCUCGAAAGCGCGGGUAUC
This 245-nucleotide ribosomal RNA is filed under the name uncultured Paraprevotella sp. RNAcentral's name for it is "partial 16S ribosomal RNA". It matches the Rfam family "Bacterial small subunit ribosomal RNA", at positions 524 to 769 of the family's 1533-position model. The record is from RNAcentral. Lineage: Bacteria; Pseudomonadati; Bacteroidota; Bacteroidia; Bacteroidales; Prevotellaceae.